This 73-nucleotide transfer RNA is filed under the name Cordylochernes scorpioides. Its description in RNAcentral is "tRNA-Thr". Lineage: Eukaryota; Metazoa; Arthropoda; Arachnida; Pseudoscorpiones; Chernetidae. The record is from RNAcentral.
GUCCAGGGAUGGGAAUCGAACUUCCAGUGUUCCGCUUACCGGGCAGAUGUCAUGUCCACUAGGCUACCCUGAA